UCUAAAAAUAUGCAAACUUGACAACAGAGGAAGAUGGUUUGGCAGCAUCUUUUCCUCUUCCCAGCCACACACAGAAGAAGAAGAUAAAACAGGAACCUUCAGCACAUCCCUUCAUUGUUAUAUAUUUUUCCAAUUGCCUGGAAAUGAGGGAGAGAAAUGUGAAGAGAUAAAGCCAGCACUAUCCAGAAAUAAAAGGUUGUCAAAAACAACCUUAGCUGCUCAUAAUUUGCUUCACUCAUAGAGUGAAAAUGACAGUUUCCAACUUCUAACGGACUUAGAAAUAUUUCUAAUUUAUGCAUGGGUUUAUAAACUGUGAGGCAUGAAAGAGAGAGGAAAAGGAUGUAUAAGGGUUGGGAUGAUGACAAUCACUUCAGACACAAGUUCCAAAGUUUAGCCCAAACUAGUUGAAUACUGGCAAUGUCACUGCAUGAUUUAAGUAGUGCCUAUUAUGGCCUGGACAGAAUCCCCCUCUGCUGAACAGCUGCGUUUUAUAUUGUACAAAAAUGAUCUCAUUUGAUUGCCAAAAACUAUUAUAUAAUGUGAUUUUAUGUAAUUAUGAAAAGAAAUUCCACAUUAAAAUGACUGUUUUUGUUUUAAUCAUGCAGCUUUGACCUUAUGCUCACUGGAAGACAAAGGAAGAACUUUUUAAUCCUUUUGAGCAAACCUUUGCUGUCCUCCUGAGUUUAGACUAAAUGAUGACAUACUUCACUGCAUUUUCUUGUAAAAUUAAGGCUGAAGCUCAGGAAACUGAAAUCAAGAGGAUGUGAAGUUCACUCAUCACCUGGUGGCAUAAGGGAGGCCAUAAGGAGGCUGGGAGCAUUCAGAGCUCAGAACUGCUGCUCCUGUUUGCUCCAAAGAUGGAAGAUCCAAGAUGCUUCCUUGCACAGUAUCACUUUCCCAGUUCUGAAAAGAGUGGCCACUCUUUGACCUGGAGAGGCCACUCUGGAUGUCUAGACAGAACUGCUCAUUACAAUCAGCUGGUAAACAUUUCACAGCUUUCCUCCCUGAGAGCUCCAUUGCUCAAGCCAGCUCUUCAUCCUGAUACUGAAAACAUGGAAGAAGCCAGUAUGAGAAUCCACUCUUUCUUCUAAUUAGUGUUGAAACCAAGAGGGAAGAAAACAAGCUCUUCUACUACAAAAACAUCCAAGCUUCCCACCUGGAAAAGAGUAAUAGUUCUGUGAGUCUGGAUCAGAGCUCUCAUCUACUAUUCAAGAAGUAAAAACAUGCCUUUGCACAUUUUUUUGAAACCCUUAAUCAAGCUGACAGUCCUUCUACACUCAUUUGGAAACUGUUCAAACUUCAAGUUGAAGCUUCUUCUUACAUUACAUUUAUUAUUUUAUUAUUCCUAUUAAAAUAUGUGUUUACUUCAACCAAAAUGGAAAUAAAGUUAAUGAAUGUGGAUCUUGAACA
RNAcentral lists this long non-coding RNA (1410 nucleotides) under Cyanistes caeruleus (blue tit). RNAcentral's name for it is "lncRNA (ENSCCEG00000022575.1)". Lineage: Eukaryota; Metazoa; Chordata; Aves; Passeriformes; Paridae. The record is from RNAcentral.